AGAGUUUGAUCAUGGCUCAGAUUGAACGCUGGCGGCAGGCCUAACACAUGCAAGUCGAACGGUAACAGGAAGCAGCUUGCUGUUUUGCUGACGAGUGGCGGACGGGUGAGUAAUGUCUGGGAAACUGCCUGAUGGAGGGGGAUAACUACUGGAAACGGUAGCUAAUACCGCAUAACGUCGCAAGACCAAAGAGGGGGACCUUAGGGCCUCUUGCCAUCGGAUGUGCCCAGAUGGGAUUAGCUAGUAGGUGGGGUAACGGCUCACCUAGGCGACGAUCCCUAGCUGGUCUGAGAGGAUGACCAGCCACACUGGAACUGAGACACGGUCCAGACUCCUACGGGAGGCAGCAGUGGGGAAUAUUGCACAAUGGGCGCAAGCCUGAUGCAGCCAUGCCGCGUGUAUGAAGAAGGCCUUCGAGUUGUAAAGUACUUUCAGCGGGGAGGAAGGGAGUAAAGUUAAUACCUUUGCUCAUUGACGUUACCCGCAGAAGAAGCACCGGCUAACUCCGUGCCAGCAGCCGCGGUAAUACGGAGGGUGCAAGCGUUAAUCGGAAUUACUGGGCGUAAAGCGCACGCAGGCGGUUUGUUAAGUCAGAUGUGAAAUCCCCGGGCUCAACCUGGGAACUGCAUCUGAUACUGGCAAGCUUGAGUCUCGUAGAGGGGGGUAGAAUUCCAGGUGUAGCGGUGAAAUGCGUAGAGAUCUGGAGGAAUACCGGUGGCGAAGGCGGCCCCCUGGACGAAGACUGACGCUCAGGUGCGAAAGCGUGGGGAGCAAACAGGAUUAGAUACCCUGGUAGUCCACGCCGUAAACGAUGUCGACUUGGAGGUUGUGCCCUUGAGGCGUGGCUUCCGGAGCUAACGCGUUAAGUCGACCGCCUGGGGAGUACGGCCGCAAGGUUAAAACUCAAAUGAAUUGACGGGGGCCCGCACAAGCGGUGGAGCAUGUGGUUUAAUUCGAUGCAACGCGAAGAACCUUACCUGGUCUUGACAUCCACGGAAGUUUUCAGAGAUGAGAAUGUGCCUUCGGGAACCGUGAGACAGGUGCUGCAUGGCUGUCGUCAGCUCGUGUUGUGAAAUGUUGGGUUAAGUCCCGCAACGAGCGCAACCCUUAUCCUUUGUUGCCAGCGGUCCGGCCGGGAACUCAAAGGAGACUGCCAGUGAUAAACUGGAGGAAGGUGGGGAUGACGUCAAGUCAUCAUGGCCCUUACGACCAGGGCUACACACGUGCUACAAUGGCGCAUACAAAGAGAAGCGACCUCGCGAGAGCAAGCGGACCUCAUAAAGUGCGUCGUAGUCCGGAUUGGAGUCUGCAACUCGACUCCAUGAAGUCGGAAUCGCUAGUAAUCGUGGAUCAGAAUGCCACGGUGAAUACGUUCCCGGGCCUUGUACACACCGCCCGUCACACCAUGGGAGUGGGUUGCAAAAGAAGUAGGUAGCUUAACCUUCGGGAGGGCGCUUACCACUUUGUGAUUCAUGACUGGGGUGAAGUCGUAACAAGGUAACCGUAGGGGAACCUGCGGUUGGAUCACCU
This 1530-nucleotide ribosomal RNA is filed under the name Escherichia coli KTE229. Its description in RNAcentral is "bacterial SSU rRNA". It matches the Rfam family "Bacterial small subunit ribosomal RNA". The record is from RNAcentral. Lineage: Bacteria; Pseudomonadati; Pseudomonadota; Gammaproteobacteria; Enterobacterales; Enterobacteriaceae.